RNAcentral lists this ribosomal RNA (678 nucleotides) under uncultured Saccharomycetales. RNAcentral's name for it is "eukaryotic LSU rRNA". The stretch from base 264 to 417 matches the Rfam family "5.8S ribosomal RNA". The record is from RNAcentral. Lineage: Eukaryota; Fungi; Ascomycota; Saccharomycetes.
GGUCAUUUAGAGGAAGUAAAAGUCGUAACAAGGUUUCCGUAGGUGAACCUGCGGAAGGAUCAUUACAGUAUUCUUUUUGCCAGCGCUUAAUUGCGCGGCGAAAAAACCUUACACACAGUGUUUUUUGUUAUUACAAGAACUUUUGCUUUGGUCUGGACUAGAAAUAGUUUGGGCCAGAGGUUACUGAACUAAACUUCAAUAUUUAUAUUGAAUUGUUAUUUAUUUAAUUGUCAAUUUGUUGAUUAAAUUCAAAAAAUCUUCAAAACUUUCAACAACGGAUCUCUUGGUUCUCGCAUCGAUGAAGAACGCAGCGAAAUGCGAUAAGUAAUAUGAAUUGCAGAUUUUCGUGAAUCAUCGAAUCUUUGAACGCACAUUGCGCCCUCUGGUAUUCCAGAGGGCAUGCCUGUUUGAGCGUCAUUUCUCUCUCAAACCUUCGGGUUUGGUAUUGAGUGAUACUCUUAGUCGAACUAGGCGUUUGCUUGAAAUGUAUUGGCAUGAGUGGUACUGGAUAGUGCUAUAUGACUUUCAAUGUAUUAGGUUUAUCCAACUCGUUGAAUAGUUUAAUGGUAUAUUUCUCGGUGGNCNAGGCUCGGCCUUACAAUAUAACAAACAAGUUUGACCUCAAAUCAGGUAGGACGGGGGACGCUGAACUUAAGCAUCNCAAUAAGCGAGNGGAAA